This 21-nucleotide microRNA is filed under the name Gallus gallus (chicken). RNAcentral's name for it is "gga-miR-1580". The record is from miRBase by way of RNAcentral. Lineage: Eukaryota; Metazoa; Chordata; Aves; Galliformes; Phasianidae.
CGGCUUCUCGGUACCUGCGUU